CAAUAGCGUAUAUUAAAGUUGUUGCAGUUAAAAGCUCGUAGUCGGAUUUCGGGUCGGGCCGAGCGGUCUGCCGAUGGGUAUGCACUGUUUGGCGCGGCCUUCUUUCCGGAGACCGCGGCUACUCUUAACUGAGCGGGCGUGGGAGACGGAUCGUUUACUUUGAAAAAUCAGAGUGUUUCUAGCAGGCAGCUCGCUCUUGCAUAGGUUAGCAUGGGAUAAUUUAAUAGGACUCUGGUGCUAUUUUGUUGGUUUUCGGAAGUCGAGGUAAUGAUUAAGAGGGACAGACGGGGGCAUUCGUACUGGGCCGCCAGAGGUGAAAUUCUUUAACUGGCUCAUGACGAACCACUGCGAAAGCAUUUGCCAAGAAUGUUUUCAUUAAUCAAGAACGAAAGUCAGAGGGUCGAAGACGAUCAGAUACCA
This 420-nucleotide ribosomal RNA is filed under the name uncultured eukaryote. RNAcentral describes it as "bacterial SSU rRNA". It matches the Rfam family "Eukaryotic small subunit ribosomal RNA", at positions 592 to 1017 of the family's 1831-position model. The record is from RNAcentral.